AUGUUGAGAUGCAUUGAUCCUACUAACUACAAAAUGCAAAAGCAUGAAAUCGGGCGUGAUAGCUCGCCGGGCACCCAGUCCCUGUCAACCAUCAUCAGUCAUAACAGAUCUGUGCGUCUUAGAUUUCUCAAAGAAUUCAAUGAGUUGAAGUACGGGAGUGUCACUGAAGAUUACAAGGCAAUCAAUAGAAAGAGGCAUGAACUUAUCAGCACCCUUGAAAAGCUGCAACUUAUACCUAUCAAGUUGCCCUAUGCCAGUGUAGCUCUCAAGUCAUCAAAUGUGACAUUACAUGAUGAAGCACAAAGUGGGAACAAUAUUAGUUCUGAUAAUAUUAUCAAAUUGGAUCUGUACAAUGUUGGAGAUGAUACCCAUGCUACCAUGGACAAUACUGGGGCUCAGGAAACUGUUUGCUUACUUGAUUCUGAUGAUAACGACAUGGUUCAAUCCUUUGUAGAUGGAAAUUUAUCCGAUUCUAAGAAAAAUACUGAUUUUAUCCAAGAAUGCAUGCUGGCUGAGCAGCCUUCCCAAUACCAGGACAUCAGUUUUGAAGCUCAACUUGUAGUUGAGCCAGGAAAGGACAGCACGGACAUUGACAAUGAGCCCAAGGAAAUUGCUUUACUUGAUGGCCAUAGUACUUCAGAGCCACAACUGAUCAAGCAAGGACAGAAUGACAUAAACAUUUACGCCGAGAGUCGUGACAAGGAGAGAGAAACAAGGGAAGGAGAAGGUGAGGAUGUCCAAAGUAAACAACACAUGGAGAACAACAAUAUUUCUGUUGUAGAUUCUUGUGAAAUAUCUUGUGAGGUCAUACAAAGUGAUUCAACGGCAAAUGGACAUUAUAAUCACUAUGAUAACAAUGACAAUCCAGUUGAUGACCUGGAUGACCUUUGGAACGAAAUGUCUCUUGCAUUGGCAUGUUCAAAGACCAUUGGAAGCGAUCACAGUAUUGUUCCGUCGGAGAAGAAUAAUUCUGAAGUAGUGGAUGAUUGUCAUCACGACUUCCUGAUGAAAGAUGAUUUGGGCAUUGUAUGUCGUGUUUGUGGUUUGAUCCAGCAACGUAUCGAGAAUAUUUUUGAGAUAAACUGGAAAAAGCAUAAGCAAUCCCACAGAACUUAUGCGCCAGAACCCAGAAACUACAAUGAGCUGGAAGCAACUACCAGUCCUUCAGGAAAUAUUCUUCAAGUUGUCCCUGGUGCUCUCUCAAUCCACUCUCAGCAUUCAGAACAGAUGAAACCUCACCAAGUGGAAGGCUUUAAUUUCUUGGUCAAGAACCUGGCAGAUGAGAACAACCCUGGAGGUUGUAUUCUAGCACAUGCACCAGGUUCUGGAAAGACUUUUAUGCUAAUUAGCUUUGUUCAAAGCUUCCUGGCCAGAUACCCUGCAGGAAGGCCAUUGAUUAUCCUUCCAAAGGGCAUUCUGGCAACAUGGAGAACAGAAUUUGUCCAUUGGCAAAUUAAGGACAUGCCUAUACCCUUGUUUGACUUCUAUUCCUCCAAAGCUAAUAACCGGUCUGAACAACUCAAGGUUUUGAACUUGUGGGAAGAAAAGAGAAGCAUAUUGCUGCUAGGGUAUCAUCAAUUUGCAUGCAUAGUAUCUGAUAGGAAUACUUAUAAAAUAGAAGUUGUCAUGUGCCGAGAUAAGUUGUUGAAGGUCCCAAGCCUUGUCAUUCUAGAUGAAGGCCACACUCCGAGAAAUGAGCAAACUGACUUACUCACUGCACUUGGAAGUAUAAGAACUCCUAGAAAAGUGGUUCUCUCAGGAACCUUGUUUCAGAAUCAUGUAAGAGAGGUUUUCAACAUUCUGAACCUUGUGCGGCCAAAAUUCCUGAAGAUGGAGAAACCUCGUGCAAUAGUGAAGCGCAUACUAAGCAAGGUUGACAUGUUGGGGAAGAGUGCACGGUCAAAGUACACUUCUGAUAAGUACUUCUAUGAUGUGGUUGAAGGAAACCUUAAAAAGGACGCAGAUGAUAAAAUGAGAGUAAUGAUCAUCCAUAAUCUACGCGAGCUAACCGCGAAUGUGCUGCACUAUUAUAAAGGUGAGCUUUUGGAUGAAUUACCCGGACUUGUGGACUUCACCGUUUUUCUGAAUAUGAGUACCGAGCAGGAAAAGAUCCUUAGGAGUUUGGUAAGACUAGAUAAUUUUAGCAGGAAAACAGCAUGCAGCGCUGUUUAUCUUCAUCCGUGCUUAAAGAAUAUUCAAAACGUUGAAGGGAAAAAUCGAGAUAUUGCUGUUCAGAAGAUUGAUUCCAUCAUAAAAAGUGGAAUUGAUAUCAAGGUUGGGGCAAAGGCAAAGUUUAUAUACAAUUUGUUGUGUCUUUCAGAGGCUGCAGGAGAGAAGGUACUCGUGUUCAGCCGGUAUCUGAACCCUCUGGUUUUCUUGGAAAUGCUGCUCAUAAGAAUGAAAGGAUGGAAACCAGAGGUUCACAUGUUUAAAUUAAAUGGUAAAUCAAUACAAGAGCAGCGAGACAAGGCGGUUGAGAGAUUCAACCACUCAACGGAUGCUAAAGUUUUGUUUGGUUCCAUCAAGGCAUGCGGCGAGGGCAUCUCCCUUGUUGGCGCAUCACGCGUUGUCAUUCUGGAGGUCCAGGAAAAUCCUUCCGUGACGCGGCAGGCAAUCGGACGGGCAUUCAGACCAGGGCAGUCCAGAUUGGUGCAUUGCUACCGCCUUGUUGCCGCCGACUCCCCAGAAGAGGAGGACCACAAGACAGCCUCCGGAAAAGAAUGGAAGUCCAAGAUGUGGUUCGAAUGGAACGAGCUUUGCAGCAACGAUGAUUUUGAGCUUGCCGCUGUGGAUAUUUCAGAGAGCGGGGACAGGUUUCUCGAACACGAGGCACUGCGACAAGAUGUCAAAUCUCUGUACAGAAGGUGA
This 2868-nucleotide ribosomal RNA is filed under the name Triticum aestivum (bread wheat). RNAcentral's name for it is "partial small subunit ribosomal RNA". Lineage: Eukaryota; Viridiplantae; Streptophyta; Magnoliopsida; Poales; Poaceae. The record is from RNAcentral.